GUGAACAUAGUUUAACCAAAACCCUAAGUUGUGAUCUUAGAGAUGAAAACUAACCUAUUCUGCUCACC
This 68-nucleotide transfer RNA is filed under the name Synapturanus sp. MZUSP 159215. RNAcentral describes it as "tRNA-His". Lineage: Eukaryota; Metazoa; Chordata; Amphibia; Anura; Microhylidae. The record is from RNAcentral.